RNAcentral lists this ribosomal RNA (253 nucleotides) under uncultured bacterium. RNAcentral's name for it is "partial 16S ribosomal RNA". It matches the Rfam family "Bacterial small subunit ribosomal RNA", at positions 524 to 776 of the family's 1533-position model. The record is from RNAcentral.
UACAGAGGUCCCAAGCGUUGUUCGGAAUCAUUGGGCGUAAAGGGCGUGUAGGCGGUUUGUUAAGUCAUGUGUGAAAUCCCUCGGCUCAACCGGGGAAGGACGCAUGAAACUGGCAAGCUAGAGUACCAAAGAGGAGAAUGGAAUUCCUGGUGUAGCGGUGAAAUGCGCAGAUAUCAGGAAGAACACCCGUGGCGAAGGCGGUUCUCUGGGACGGUACUGACGCUGAGACGCGAAAGCGUGGGGAGCAAACAGG